GGAUAUCGGUGUAAUCAGAGGACCCCUGACCCCAGAGGAAAAGUUAAGAAGAAGGACAAACCAUCUAUGUCUCUAUUGUGGUUCUAAAGAUCAUGAGGUUACAACUUGCCCAUCCCUCAAGAAGCAGAAAAAGGUGGGAUCACCAUCUCCUCCACUCUAAAGCUGUCAUAGACUCCGGAGCUUUCUCCCGUUACAUUGAUAUUGAUUAUGUAAAAUCAAAUAAAAUUCCCCUUAUUGCAAAAAACAAA
Molecule: long non-coding RNA, 248 nt
Organism: Bombina bombina (fire-bellied toad)
Lineage: Eukaryota; Metazoa; Chordata; Amphibia; Anura; Bombinatoridae
Exons: 2
Source: RefSeq, a predicted model, not a curated record